This 497-nucleotide ribosomal RNA is filed under the name uncultured bacterium. Its description in RNAcentral is "partial 16S ribosomal RNA". It matches the Rfam family "Bacterial small subunit ribosomal RNA", at positions 28 to 507 of the family's 1533-position model. The record is from RNAcentral.
GAUGAACGCUGGCGGCGUGCCUAAUACAUGCAAGUCGAGCGAACAGACGCGGAGCUUGCUCCUCUGACGUUAGCGGCGGACGGGUGUGUCACACGUGGAUAACCUACCUAUCAGACUGGGAUAACUUCGGGAAACCGGCGCUAAUACCGGAUAAUAUAUUGAACCGCAUGGUUCAAUAGUGAAAGACGGUUUUGCUGUCACUAAUAGAUGGAUCCGCGCCGCAUUGGCUAGUUGGUAAGGUAACGGCUUACCACGGCAACGAUGCGUAGCCGACCUGAGAGGGGGAUCGGCCACACUGGAACUGAGACGGGGUCCAGACUCCUACGGGAGGCAGCAGUAGGGAAUCUUCCGCAAUGGGCGAAAGCCUGACGGAGCAACGCCGCGUGAGUGAUGAAGGUCUUCGGAUCGUAAAACUCUGUUAUUAGGGAAGAACAAAUGUGUAAGUAACUAUGCACGUCUUGACGGUACCGAAUCAGAAAGCCACGGCUAACUACGUG